This is a non-coding RNA of Chlorocebus sabaeus (green monkey), 2209 nucleotides long. NCBI's taxonomy places the organism in Eukaryota, Metazoa, Chordata, Mammalia, Primates, Cercopithecidae. The record is from RefSeq and is a predicted model, not a curated record.
GGAAAAUUUUUGUGCAGGUGCUAUAUGUGAAAAGUUGUCUGCAAUAUUUGGUUUAGCUAUUUUGGUAGUAAUAAAUAGAAUUUAUUAAAUUUUUAAAUUAUUUACUGCACUACAAAGGCAAUAAUUUAAUUCGAAUAUAUUCCAAAAAAAUCAGGGCAUAAGGUUUUUUUUGAUAUAUUUUUCCCGUAUUUGUCAUAGAAUAAAGCAUUUCUUAAUGCUAAUAUACUUCAGUUUUCCAAUUUUUACUACAGUUGAUCUUUGAGUUGGGGACAUGGUUGCUGCUGAUUCAAUUAUCAUUGAACCUCCUUAUUGAAGAAUGACAUUACCAAGACAGCACCAAGUCUCAGAAUCUAAAAACUUAAUACAAUGAUUUCUAAUUCAGCUAAUCAUCAAAAUCACCUGCAGAACUUUACAAAAAUUUAAAUCAUCAUGGCCAGAGAUUCUAUCCAACAGGUUUUGAAGCAAACCAGGAAACUGAAUUUUGAAAUGUUCCCAGAUCAUUCUGUUGAUCAGCCAAGUUUGGGAAUCUCCAGCUGAAAUGCCGAGGACUUAGUCUAUCUGCAGACUCAUCUCAUGACUACAGCCUAGCCAAGUUUGAGCUCCUACUCCAUUGGAGUCUCUGCACUAGAAAGAUUUGAAGGACGGAGCACAGUGCACCAUUAAGUGGGUUUACGAUCAGGAGACAAAGUACAAUAGGGCUUCAAGGACCACUGGAGCCCAGAUCUCAAAUAUGCUGGUGACAGCAAUGGAGGGGCCAUGAGCUUUGGAGGCAGUCUUGAUUCAAACGCUGGAUCUGCGCUGCUGUGAGAAGGGAAAAGAGGCUCAAGGAAGGAUAAGUAACUUGUUCAAGUACUGGCUCCUGAGCUCAGAGAAGAUACAGAGAGGAUCACGCUGACGUGAGCACUGACCACAAAGGGAAUGAGAUACUCCAAGAAAUGCCCCUUCCCUGUGGGGACAAGAUGGAAACUGCCAACCUCUCUGCAGGCGCCCCUCUGGCUGGAAGGAGGCACCAGAACACACUGCCACACUGCAUGCUGCAGUAUGUGACACGCUGCUGUUUCUUAAGAGCCUGUGUGAGAGGUCAGUGCCACCAAGUGGCUGAAAGGUGAGUGGGCAAACAGAAGGGUAUCUGCAAUACAGUGGCUUCCUACUGCUUCUGCUCGCCUUCCUCCCGCCUCUGCCACCCACCCAUUACCCCACGUCUCUCAGGACUCUCUGUGCUGUCCUUGGCUGACUAUAGGGUACUGGAUUAAUGUACUCUUUUAAGUUAGCUCUCAGGUGUCCAACUCUCCCUUUACACCUUAACCUAGACUUUGGCCUCCUUCCCUGCUCAAAUUGAUUCAUCCCAUCGUGAGGAAGAACUCUGACUACAGACCAAAGACUCCUUCAUUAGGUAGGACAGACAGAGAAUAAAUCAGUGUGUUCCCUCUCUAUUGGUGGAUACUUUCACAUUUGCUCUGAGCUCUGGCUUAACUCAAGGAACUAACUGGUAAUGGAGGAAGUUCAGGCAGGCUUGUGGGAGAGAUGGAUGGAUAGACAUUUUUUAUUAGCACUUUUCUAAUCAGUUGAGUUAAGAUAAGUGACCACAGGUGCAAGAGACCACAUUCUACAAUAUAAGGAAACACUCAAUAUAUAUGUCAUAUUUGUGCCCUCAAGGAAGUGGUGAUUCAGUAAGGUACAUAGAUCAUAAGCACAUGGAUUAAAAAAUUCACACAAGUAUUUAAAAAUGAUAGAAUAGCAUAAGAUAGGCAUAAAGUAUGCAGAACCAAUCAAGGAAAUAAAAGAUGAACUAGGCAUAAUGGUCACUGAGUAUCUGUGGUAUGCCAGAUAUUAUCAAGCACUCCCAUAAAUUUAAUUUUAUGUAAUCUACCCUAAACUGUUGUAUUUCAUGGAUCACAAAAGAAAACACCCAAACUCUUUCUUUUUUUCUUUAUUUUUAAAAUUUAUAUCAAUUUAAGGAGUAUAAGUGUGAUUGUAUUACAUGGAUAUGUUGUGUAGUGGCGAAGUCUCAGCUUUUCACGUAACCAUCGCCUGAAUCGAGGACUUGAUUUUUAAAUGGUGCUUGAGUCAACAUUUUGCAAUGUUGAAGGAUCAACAUUAAAUCAUUCUAAUCCCCCCUACUCUCUAGAAGCCAACACUUUUCAAAGUGUGCCAUGUGCAAAUGGCAUUUGGAUAAAUAUACAUAAUAAAAUUUAACAAUAAUGCCCUU